This 638-nucleotide ribosomal RNA is filed under the name Lecanodiaspis baculifera. Its description in RNAcentral is "bacterial SSU rRNA". It matches the Rfam family "Eukaryotic small subunit ribosomal RNA", at positions 20 to 562 of the family's 1831-position model. Lineage: Eukaryota; Metazoa; Arthropoda; Insecta; Hemiptera; Lecanodiaspididae. The record is from RNAcentral.
GUAGUCAUAUGCUUGUCUCAAAGAUUAAGCCAUGCAUGUCUCAGUGCAAGCCGUCCAGUACGGUGAAACCGCGAAAGGCUCAUUAAAUCAGUUAUGGUUCCUUAGAUCGUACCCACACUUACUUGGAUAACUGUGGUAAUUCUAGAGCUAAUACAUGCCGACAGAGUUCCGACCAGCGUCGUUGUUGCGCGGCGGACUUCGCGUUCGUCGCCGCUACGUUCGUUCGGAAGGAACGCUUUUAUUAGAUCAAAACCGGCUAAGCUAGCGACCGCUUUCGAGCGCGUUCGCUAGUAAACGGCCCGCGCAAAGACUUGACGACUCUGAAUAACUUUUAGCUGAUCGCACGGUCUCGUACCGGCGACGUAUCUUUCAAAUGUCUGCCUUAUCAACUGUCGACGGUAGGUUCGACGCCUACCGUGGUGGUAACGGGUAACGGGGAAUUAGGGUUCGAUUCCGGAGAGGGAGCCUGAGAAACGGCUACCACUUCUAAGGAAGGCAGCAGGCGCGCAAAUUACCCACUCCCAGCUCGGGGAGGUAGUGACGAAAAAUAACGAUACGGGACUCAUCCGAGGCCCCGUAAUCGGAAUGAGUACACUUUAAAACCUUGGUCACACGAGGAUCAAUUGGAGGGCAAGUCU